This 484-nucleotide ribosomal RNA is filed under the name uncultured bacterium. Its description in RNAcentral is "partial 16S ribosomal RNA". It matches the Rfam family "Bacterial small subunit ribosomal RNA", at positions 30 to 507 of the family's 1533-position model. The record is from RNAcentral.
AUUGAACGCUAGCGGGAUGCUUUACACAUGCAAGUCGAACGGCAGCGCGGACUUCGGGCUGGCGGCGAGUGGCGAACGGGUGAGUAAUGUAUCGGAACGUGCCCAGUAGCGGGGGAUAACUACGCGAAAGCGUAGCUAAUACCGCAUACGCCCUACGGGGGAAAGCAGGGGAUCGUAAGACCUUGCACUAUUGGAGCGGCCGAUAUCGGAUUAGCUAGUUGGUGAGGUAACGGCUCACCAAGGCGACGAUCCGUAGCUGGGUUGAGAGGACGACCAGCCACACUGGAACUGAGACACGGCCCAGACUCCUACGGGAGGCAGCAGUGGGGAAUUUUGGACAAUGGGGGCAACCCUGAUCCAGCCAUCCCGCGUGUGCGAUGAAGGCCUUCGGGUUGUAAAGCACUUUUGGCAGGAAAGAACCGUCGCGGGCUAAUCCCCCGUGAAACUGACGGUACCUGCAGAAUAAGCACCGGCUAACUACGUG